GCCUCCUUAGCUCAGGGCAGAGCACUGGUCUUGUAAACCAGGGGUCGUGAGUUCGAUUCUCACAGGGGCA
RNAcentral lists this transfer RNA (70 nucleotides) under Penaeus vannamei (Pacific white shrimp). Its description in RNAcentral is "Litopenaeus vannamei (Pacific white shrimp) tRNA". It matches the Rfam family "tRNA". Rfam says of the family: Transfer RNA (tRNA) molecules are approximately 80 nucleotides in length. Their secondary structure includes four short double-helical elements and three loops (D, anti-codon, and T loops). Lineage: Eukaryota; Metazoa; Arthropoda; Malacostraca; Decapoda; Penaeidae. The record is from Rfam by way of RNAcentral.